AGAGCUCUCACAGAUGCAUGGAAAUAAGCCGUUCACUUUUAUUCCAAUAGAACCUUGCUUUGUAUAAACUUUUAAGAAGUUGUGCUCAGCGUGGGGUGAGGGGGAGUGAGAGCAAAGGCCUCCUUCCUUGCCUAGCAAGACCGUCCACACGCCCAUCUCAAGGCCUCUCCUGGCCUGUGUCUUCCACAUGCUGUGGUUUCUGGGGCAGGAAGAGAGGAGAACCGAGAGAAGGGAAGGGAUUUGUCGGCUUUCUGCCUCCUCAGUGGCUUCUCACGCCUUCAGUGGCCGUGACCAGGUCCUCUCUUAGGAAGACAUGGUGAGUGCUCCCUGCACCUUGGGUGUUUCGAGGAGGUGCAGCUUGGAGAAGCCCAGGCUAACGGGCGUUGGGAGGGUCUUUGGCGUUUUCCUUUGGGGACUGGGAAAAGGGUGCAAAUUGAAACCAGAGAUGCUUCCGUAGUCCUUUGUUCAGAGCACACACCUUUCAGCAUACGAUCCACUCUAUUUUUUUUUUUUAUUAUUGUUUACUGAAAAUUUUUAUUUCUAGUCCACUUUUUUUUUUAAAUGUGAAAAGUGCUCUAACAAGUGCCUCAUUUGGUGCCAUACAGGAUUUGAAGUCCUCCUUUUUUUUCUGCCAGGUGGCAGAUGGGACCUUCUCUGGGGACUGCAGCCACUGAAGAUCUUUCUUUUGGAAAUUCUUAGGUUUGGUGAAUGCUUUCAGACAGUUCCCUGUCCUCGUGGGCUCUGAUGUUUCCUUGAAAGCGUUGGCAUUUUGGAUUCACCUCCGAGACAGGGUGAAAGGGUGCUCCUGGCCCCAUCCUGACCCAGCCCUCCAGUGGGCGAGACUAGUUCUGCUGCCUUACCCCAUUCCUUCCAAGUUUCUGCUUCUUCGAUCCAUUGUAAAAGAUGGCUCCGUGACUUUCUUCAUCUGUUUCCGAUUCAUGGAUCAGGAGAGCUUAUUUGGAGGUUCCAGCAGGAUCAGCUAGAACCUUGUAUCUUCUCAAACAAAUGACAGGUCUCUGGGGAUGAAGGUGAAGGUCCGGC
RNAcentral lists this long non-coding RNA (1041 nucleotides) under Marmota monax (woodchuck). The record is from RNAcentral. Lineage: Eukaryota; Metazoa; Chordata; Mammalia; Rodentia; Sciuridae.